UGCAGAUUGGUGGAAAGGAUCUGUUGUUAAUCGACUUCUCAAUUAUCACACCAAAUUAGCAGAUUGGUGGAAAGGAUCUGUUGUUAAUCGACUUCUCAAUUAUCACACCAAAUUAGCAGUAUUGGCAUUGCCAAGAGAAAGAUGAGAGACAUGAGACCGUACAAUGCAGAAGAGCUGAAGGCCACCAUUGAAGCAUCCUGGUCUUCCAUAACACCUCAGCAGUGCCACAGGCUGAUAGAAUCCAUGCCACGCUGCACUGAGGCAGUAAUUCAUGCAAAAGGUGC
Molecule: long non-coding RNA, 284 nt
Organism: Pseudophryne corroboree (corroboree frog)
Lineage: Eukaryota; Metazoa; Chordata; Amphibia; Anura; Myobatrachidae
Exons: 3
Source: RefSeq, a predicted model, not a curated record